Molecule: transfer RNA, 72 nt
Filed under: Histoplasma capsulatum G186AR
Lineage: Eukaryota; Fungi; Ascomycota; Eurotiomycetes; Onygenales; Ajellomycetaceae
Also listed under: 8 other names
Description: tRNA-Pro (CGG) (tRNA-Pro-CGG-1-1)
Rfam family: tRNA
About the family: Transfer RNA (tRNA) molecules are approximately 80 nucleotides in length.
Source: RNAcentral
GGUCUUGUGGUCUAGUGGUAUGAUUCUCGCUUCGGGUGCGAGAGGCCCCGCGUUCGAGUCGCGGCAAGACCC